Molecule: non-coding RNA, 102 nt
Filed under: Bacillus sp. (in: firmicutes)
Lineage: Bacteria; Bacillati; Bacillota; Bacilli; Caryophanales; Bacillaceae
Also listed under: 1 other name
Description: Bacillus sp. Guanine sequence
Rfam family: Purine riboswitch aptamer
About the family: Riboswitches are metabolite binding domains within certain messenger RNAs that serve as precision sensors for their corresponding targets. Allosteric rearrangement of mRNA structure is mediated by ligand binding, and this results in modulation of gene expression.
Source: RNAcentral
GAGAAUAUUGUCGAUUUUACUCGUAUAAUCUUGGGAAUAUGGCCCAGAAGUUUCUACCGAGCUACCGUAAAUGGCUUGACUACGAGGCAGUGUAUAUUAAAU